RNAcentral lists this ribosomal RNA (1441 nucleotides) under uncultured organism. RNAcentral's name for it is "bacterial SSU rRNA". It matches the Rfam family "Bacterial small subunit ribosomal RNA". The record is from RNAcentral.
CUGGCUCAGAACGAACGCUGGCGGCAUGGAUUAGGCAUGCAAGUCGAACGGUGAAGCAGAGCUUGCUCUGUGAAUCAGUGGCGAAAGGGUGAGUAACGCGUGAGUAACCUACCUUUAAGUUGGAAAUAGCUCCGAGAAAUCGGAAUUAAUGUCGAAUGUGAACAGUUUUUCGCAUGGAAUUCUGUUUAAAGAUUUUUCGCUUAUUGAGGGGCUCGCGUCCCAUUAGCUAGUUGGUAAGGUAACGGCUUACCAAGGCAAAGAUGGGUAGCUGGUCUGAGAGGAUGAUCAGCCACACUGGGACUGAGACACUGCCCAGACUCCUACGGGAGGCUGCAGUCGAGAAUCUUCCGCAAUGCGCGAAAGCGUGACGGAGCGAUGCCGCGUGCAGGAUGAAGGCCCUUGGGUUGUAAACUGCUGUCACUCGGGACGAAGAUCUGACGGUACCGAGAGAGGAAGCCACGGCUAACUACGUGCCAGCAGCCGCGGUAAUACGUAGGUGGCGAGCGUUGUUCGGAUUUAUUGGGCGUAAAGGGUCCGCAGGGGGUUUAUUAAGUCUGAUGUGAAAUCCCACGGCUCAACCGUGGAACUGCAUUGGAAACUGAUAGACUAGAGUAUCGCAGAGGAAAGCGGAAUUCCUGGUGUAGCGGUGGAAUGCGUAGAUAUCAGGAAGAACAUCGAGAGCGAAGGCAGCUUUCUAGGCGAUUACUGACCCUCAGGGACGAAAGCGUGGGUAGCGAACAGGAUUAGAUAUCCUGGUAGUCCACGCCGUAAACGCUGUGAACUUGAUGUGGGAGGAUUUAGACCCUUCUGUGUCGGAGCUAACGCGAUAAGUUCACCGCCUGGGGACUACGGCCGCAAGGCUAAAACUCAAAGGAAUUGACGGGGGCCCGCACAAGCGGUGGAGCAUGUGGCUCAAUUCGAGGCAACGCGAAGAACCUUACCUGGGUUUGAAAUGGGAGCCCCUUUUUGGGGUUAGCUCGGUGAAAGCCGAGUUUGUCCACACAGGUGCUGCAUGGCUGUCGACAGCUCGUGCCGUGAGGUGUUCGGUUAAGUCCGGCAACGAGCGCAACCCGUGUCGCUAGUUACCAUCAGGUAAUGCUGGGGACUCUAGUGAGACUGCCCGUGUUAAGCGGGAGGAAGGCGCGGAUGACGUCAAGUCCGUAUGGCCCUUAUGCCCAGGGCUGCACACGUGCUACAAUGGCCGAUACAAUGGGACGCAAGAUCAUGAGAUUGAGCUAAUCCUCAAAAUCGGCCCUAGUUCGGAUUGGAAGGUCUGCAACUCGACUCCAUGAAGUUGGAAUCGCUAGUAAAGGCGUAUCAGCAAUGGCGCCUUGAAUACGUUCCCGGGCCUUGUACACACCGCCCGUCACAUCAUGGAAGCUCACUGUACCCGAAGUCGUUGUACCAACUCUUCUUGAGCGGAAAACGCCUAAGGUAUGGU